CUCAGUGUGUGCCUGGGACCUGCGGAGGCCAGCAGAGGGCGUGAACUCCUUUGGAACUGGACUUAUAGGUGAAGUUUCACUUCUGGAGUGUACUAUCCUCCAUCGGCAACUUCUGUUUUCCAAAUCCUCGUUAAAGCUGGAGACGCUCCGACGCAAAGACUCGGUCCGUAAUCCAGCAUUCAAGCUCCCAUGUGGGUCCCGGGAGUCAAACCUGGGUCUUCAGCAAGAGCAGGAAGUGAGUGCUCUUAACCUCAGAGCCAUCUCUCCAGCCCAACUGUUUCUUUCCCUUUUCAGAGCUCCCUACUAGAUGGAAAUUUAAUUACGGCUGGUCUGACAGAGCAAUGCAACCAGACUAACAAGAAUGAAGAUCGACUAAAGACCCACUUGUGGGGCUGGAGACAUGGUUCAGAUCUUAAGCGCACUGGCUGCUCUUCCAGAGGACCUCGGUUCGAUUCUCAGCAAGAGGCAAGGGCAGGCUGACGCCUGUGAGCUCCAGCUCUGCUCUACACAAUGGUGACAGUUUUGAGAAGAAUGUAACAAGCCAAACUGCACACUCCUGCUGCCACAGCCAGGAGCUGCUCUAGACUCCAACCUGCCAAACUUGUCUGCAGCAGAGGCAGCACCUUAUUCUCCUGCAUUGAUGGAUCGGGGUUCUAAGCUCACAUUCUCUCAACGAUUGUCUCUCAUAGUUACAGCCAGCCUAGUGAGCAGAAAGCUAUAUUCUGUUAUGAUGUCUUGUGUUACCCAGGCUGGCAGCCAAGGAUACCAUUGAAUCCUGACCCUCCAGACUCUAUCUCCCAAGUGCUAGAAUUACAGGGAUGAACCUCCAGGACCAGCUGUAAGAAAGUCUCUCCACCAUUUGUUUCAGACCCAAAGAAAUCAACCUGGGGAAUGGCGUGAGUCCUGCUCCUAAAGAGUUUGGUUUGUGAGCGCCAGUACUGUGUGGCUCACACGCUAACUCCAGCUCCAGGGCAUCUGAUGCCCUCUGUUGGCUUCCAUUGGCACAGGCACACAUACUUAUAUAGACCUACACACACAUAAG
This 1042-nucleotide long non-coding RNA is filed under the name Cricetulus griseus (Chinese hamster). RNAcentral describes it as "lncRNA (ENSCGRG00015032645.1)". Lineage: Eukaryota; Metazoa; Chordata; Mammalia; Rodentia; Cricetidae. The record is from RNAcentral.